CCUACGGGAGGCUGCAGUGGGGAAUAUUGCACAAUGGGGGAAACCCUGAUGCAGCGACGCCGCGUGAGUGAAGAAGUAAUUCGUUAUGUAAAGCUCUAUCAGCAGGGAAGAAAAUGACGGUACCUGAGUAAGAAGCCCCGGCUAACUACGUGCCAGCAGCCGCGGUAAUACGUAGGGGGCAAGCGUUAUCCGGAUUUACUGGGUGGAAAGGGAGCGUAGGCGGCAGUGCAAGUCUGGAGUGAAAGGCGGGGGCUCAACCCCCGGACUGCUCUGGAAACUGUACGGCUGGAGUGCAGGAGAGGUAAGUGGAAUUCCUAGUGUAGCGGUGAAAUGCGUAGAUAUUAGGAGGAACACCAGUGGCGAAGGCGGCUUACUGGACUGUAACUGACGUUGAGGCUCGAAAGCGUGGGGAGCAAACAGGAUUAGAUACCCCUGUAGUC
RNAcentral lists this ribosomal RNA (440 nucleotides) under uncultured bacterium. RNAcentral describes it as "partial 16S ribosomal RNA". It matches the Rfam family "Bacterial small subunit ribosomal RNA", at positions 338 to 795 of the family's 1533-position model. The record is from RNAcentral.